RNAcentral lists this ribosomal RNA (486 nucleotides) under uncultured Glomeromycotina. RNAcentral's name for it is "SSU rRNA". It matches the Rfam family "Eukaryotic small subunit ribosomal RNA", at positions 562 to 1052 of the family's 1831-position model. Lineage: Eukaryota; Fungi; Glomeromycota. The record is from RNAcentral.
UGGUGCCAGCAGCCGCGGUAAUUCCAGCUCCAAUAGCGUAUAUUAAAGUUGUUGCAGUUAAAAAGCUCGUAGUUGAAUUUCGGGGUUAGUAAGUUGGUCAUGCCUCUGGUAUGCACUGGCUUUACUGAUUCCUCCUUCUUGAUGAACUGUAAUGUCAUUAAUUUGGUGUUGCAGGGAAUCAGGACUGUUACUUUGAAAAAAUUAGAGUGUUUAAAGCAGGCAUACGCUUGAAUACAUUAGCAUGGAAUAAUGAAAUAGGACGUUUGAUCCUAUUUUGUUGGUUUCUAGGAUUGACGUAAUGAUUAAUAGGGAUAGUUGGGGGCAUUAGUAUUCAAUUGUCAGAGGUGAAAUUCUUGGAUUUAUUGAAGACUAACUACUGCGAAAACAUUUGCCAAGGAUGUUUUCAUUAAUCAAGAACGAAAGUUAGGGGAUCGAAGACGAUCAGAUACCGUCGUAGUCUUAACCACAAACUAUGCCGACUAGGGA